GGCCUGAUGGUCUAGUGGUAUGAUUCUCGCUUUGGGUCCACAAUUAUGCGAGAGGUCCCGGGUUCAAUCCCCGGUCAGGCCC
RNAcentral lists this transfer RNA (82 nucleotides) under Cordyceps javanica. RNAcentral's name for it is "Isaria javanica tRNA". It matches the Rfam family "tRNA". Rfam says of the family: Transfer RNA (tRNA) molecules are approximately 80 nucleotides in length. Their secondary structure includes four short double-helical elements and three loops (D, anti-codon, and T loops). Further hydrogen bonds mediate the characteristic L-shaped molecular structure. tRNAs have two regions of fundamental functional importance: the anti-codon, which is responsible for specific mRNA codon recognition, and the 3' end, to which the tRNAs corresponding amino acid is attached (by aminoacyl-tRNA synthetases). tRNAs cope with the degeneracy of the genetic code in two manners: having more than one tRNA (with a specific anti-codon) for a particular amino acid; and 'wobble' base-pairing, i.e. permitting non-standard base-pairing at the 3rd anti-codon position. Lineage: Eukaryota; Fungi; Ascomycota; Sordariomycetes; Hypocreales; Cordycipitaceae. The record is from Rfam by way of RNAcentral.